Molecule: transfer RNA, 72 nt
Filed under: Ictidomys tridecemlineatus (thirteen-lined ground squirrel)
Lineage: Eukaryota; Metazoa; Chordata; Mammalia; Rodentia; Sciuridae
Description: Spermophilus tridecemlineatus (thirteen-lined ground squirrel) tRNA
Rfam family: tRNA
About the family: Transfer RNA (tRNA) molecules are approximately 80 nucleotides in length. Their secondary structure includes four short double-helical elements and three loops (D, anti-codon, and T loops).
Source: Rfam by way of RNAcentral
AGGGAUGUAGCUCAGUGGUAGAGUGCUUGCAUAACAUGCAUGAGGCCUUGGGUUCAAUUCCUAGUACUACAA